GGGUGCCAGGAGCCAGGCCUCCGCGGGGAAGCGGGAUUCUGCCCGGUUCCAAACCGUGUUUGACCCCAGGGCGCCUGUAUUGCCCCUGAAGGCCAGGCUGGAGGAAAGACGACUACCUUGGGAGAGCGGGGGGCCUGGGGAAAAGUUUCAACCCAUCCAGUGAAGGUAUCUACAAAUACCAAGAUGUAUUUGAAACCCCAGGGACCAGGGACAUGACAGCAAAAGAGUUAGCUCUUUUGGAUCUUGUCCUAAAGAGAGUGGGGAGAUUUUGAAUUCCUCGGAAGGACUAGUGUCCCAUCCUGUGACCAAAUUAAUGAUGUACAUUUGCUUCUUGGUAAGUUGCAGAUAUGGACUACACUAGAUGGAGUUGUCACACAAAGGAAACUUUAUUUGCAGCAACUAAGGAGAUCAAGGGGAAUAACUUCCAAAGCCAUGACUCUCCAAGAAGGGUUGAACCAAUUCUUUUAACUUGGGGGUUUGAGAUGAAUAUUCAGAGGGGGAGUUUCAUCACUGCAUAUAAAAGGCAAACAUAGGUUUGUGCAUGUGCACUUAGAAAACAUACCUAUAUAUGCACCAUAGGUUAUGUUAACGAAGCUUAUGUUCCUGCCCCAGGGCAGAGAUCCUAACGUUAUAAUGAAGUUGAGGUGACUGUCCAGCACUUUAUGGCUCAGCUGUGCAGGCGUCCCCCUGGUGGUUGAGCUCGAAUUUGUCUAGGCCAGUUGGAGUUUUCUUUCUUUUCCUGUUCCAGAAAUUUGUUAGUUUCAAAAAGAUGAAAUCGAUAGUUAAAUAGAUCUAAGGCUCAUAGGUCAUUAGGCAGAAUUCUUUGCAGCCAAAGUGCUUAUUCUCUGACUUUAUGCAGGUAGGUAUUUAUUUCCCCAGAGGAAUUUAUCCACGUGUAGCAGGCGGUAUUCACUCUUGUCCAGACUCCUCCUUGUUCAGCUAGUAGAUAAUCAAGGGCUGUGCCAUUAUCCAAAAUUACUGUAGCCAAAGAGUCCAGUGAUCAUUGUUGGGCUGUUAGUGCUUUGGUUGUGGGGCCAGCUAGCUCUCCUAAUGUUUGGGAAAGAUUCCCGAUCUUGCAUUGGUUGGCAUUUCCUCCAAUGUAUGGGAGAAAGUCUCUGCCCAGGGAGGAAAACCAGAGUCAUAUAUGUGUCCUGGAAGUUCCCAUGUAGCGGCCAUGGAGGCUCAAUGGAGUGGACAGGAGGGGAGGCUUCUGAUUUGGUAUGCAUAUUAACAGGGACAGUGAAAUGUUCCAGUGAGCAUUGACCUCCAAGUGGCCAGCUGCCAACAUUCAUAUGCCCCUGAGAAGUGCUGUCCAGAACAAACACAAAUGGAACCAGGUGGAGCCUCGGGGACGCCAGCUCAGGUCUGGUUAUUGAUAGAUUCACUAGCCGAAUGUCCUGACUGACCCUUUCAAGUUAUGGCUCAGAAAGUUUGAGGUAACAUUCUGUGAGAGAUUAUUCCCUCCUAAAGGGAUUUUUUUUCUAAAAACCUCACAGGGGAGUCUAGACCUGGUUUUUUCCCCCUGGGUGCAGGGAAACAGAUUGUAUUUAGGUAAGGAAAGGAUGCGGGGAGUGAGGGAAGGGGGGCUGACAGAGGCUGAGGUGUUUACCUGAGCUGGCACGGUUACAACUGGGGAAAGGCUGAAACCAGCAUGGGAACACCUGGCCGUAACAACCUAACCCGACAGGUAACCUCCAUGGGCUUACAGGUAAGUCAGCAGUGGGCCUAGGGACUGAAGAGAAAAUAAUUACAGGUAAGGCCAAGGGGCCUCUGACAUCAUAAACAGAUUGGAAUUUCUGGCAACCGAUCCAACAUUCAGAGGUUUCUGCCUUUUGCACUAGACAGAGAAAUGUGGAGAAGAGCAUUGCGUUUUCAAGAGUAAGGGGGGUGGGGGGGGGGGAAAUAACAAAGUAAGAAGCGGUGGGGAGAAAAAGGUAUACUGGCUUGGCCUGGCCAUCUUGGGAAAGCUGUCUCCUUCAGCUGUCAUUGGCUUCAAUUCCUAGAAAUCUUUACGUUCAGGUCACCAGUUGGGGUACAGGUCCAGCCAGGGUUUGGUGCUGUCUUUAGAUGUGACACAUGAACCCAAGAGUCUGAAGUUUGGUGGCACAAGCAUUGGUUGACAGUAGCUGCUAUGGGUCUUCCCAGUGGAGCUGAAGAGUGUCUUUGCGGAGAUGUCUUUUCCAGUAGAUGAAGUCCCCAGGUUGCAAGGAUUGUGGGUGAUCAUCUCCCAUGCUUGGAUCCUCGGUCUCAGGCCACAGUGUUUGGCAGAAAUCAGUAGUUUUUCAGAAUAUUGGAAGGUGCCCACCACUGGCACUAGUGUAUUUUUGUCACUUCAAAGCACCUGUGGACGGUCCUUUGCUUUCCUUAGGGUCUGCUUUUCCACAGACCCUUUCCUCUGCUGCUUUAUUGCCACUUACAUUAAAUACAGUAUAUGACAAUAGUUUA
This is a long non-coding RNA of Felis catus (domestic cat), 2445 nucleotides long. RefSeq lists it as uncharacterized. The record is from RefSeq and is a predicted model, not a curated record. NCBI's taxonomy places the organism in Eukaryota, Metazoa, Chordata, Mammalia, Carnivora, Felidae. The transcript is spliced from 4 exons.